GGUUAAAGUCAUAUCACCCUGCAGCCCAAGACCGGUUACCCAUUGAAGCUAAGCAGGGCUGAGCCUGGUCAGUACUUGUAUGGGAGACCACAUGGGAAAACUAGGUUGCUGUUGGAA
Non-coding RNA from Danio rerio (zebrafish), 117 nucleotides. NCBI's taxonomy places the organism in Eukaryota, Metazoa, Chordata, Actinopteri, Cypriniformes, Danionidae. The record is from Rfam.